Molecule: ribosomal RNA, 253 nt
Filed under: uncultured bacterium
Lineage: Bacteria
Description: partial 16S ribosomal RNA
Rfam family: Bacterial small subunit ribosomal RNA
Source: RNAcentral
UACGUAGGCAGCGAGCGUUGUUCGGAGUUACUGGGCGUAAAGAGUGCGUAGGCGGUUUUCUAAGUUUGGUGUGAAAUCUCCCGGCUUAACUGGGAGGGUGCGUCGAAGACUGGAAGGCUUGAGUAUGGGAGAGGUAAGCGGAAUUCCUGGUGUAGCGGUGAAAUGCGUAGAUAUCAGGAGGAACACCUGCGGUGUAGACGGCUUACUGGACCAUAACUGACGCUGAGGCACGAAAGCGUGGGUAGCAAACAGG